RNAcentral lists this long non-coding RNA (864 nucleotides) under Mytilus galloprovincialis (Mediterranean mussel). The record is from RNAcentral. Lineage: Eukaryota; Metazoa; Mollusca; Bivalvia; Mytilida; Mytilidae.
GUGAUAAAUAUGCGAGUGUGGAAAUUUUUGAAAAUCUUUACGACCAUCAUUCUAGAACUGUUUAAGGCUUAGGUAGUACCGUUAUUGAUUUUCAAGAUACGACAAUACAAACUAAUAUGCAAGUUAUAAAAAUCGGCUCUGAAAGAGAAAUUAAGACACGAUUUCUGCCUUUGCCACCUAAAACACCCAAACCAAAGACACCAAAUUCCAGACUGAAUUAAGCCAACAGGAAAAAUACAUGAUUAUGAUAAAAUACAUGAAUCAUUUACCAGGUGCAAUGCUAUUCGGAUUAUAUUCUGUCAAUAGAAGAUGUGUGAUACAAAAAAGCCUACGAGAAACAGUUGUGUUUUAAGGAUUUAUCUCUUAGUGUACAUGUCAAUUGCCAUGUAAUUAGAAAUUUUCAUAAUCUAUUUGAAGCAAGAAAUAAUGACAAAAAUGGCUGAAACUAAGAAGAAGGACCAAAUAUAAUAUAUGAAUGGAAAGCAUAUAUAGUGUGAUGCGAAUGAAACAACUCAUUAACUUUAAUUUUCAGCAAGAAACAAUGAAAGAACAAAUAUAAUGCCUGUUUGACUAUAACAGAGUGAUAACUUAAGGCAGUAUAAAAAAAAGAUUAAUAGCAUAGAAUUGUCAGAAACAUAAUUUCUAUAUUCCUUGAGUGGUAACUUAAAACCAAGCACCUUAAAGCUUUUCAUAAUUUAUAUUUUUAUUAUUUGGUAUUGGUUGCAAAUAUACUAGCCAAAAGACAAUGACCCAUAAAUUGCAAUAUUCUUCGUUCCGGGUUAAUAGUGCUAGUUAAAAGAUUGGUGUGUUUUAGAUUCCAGUAUUUGCAAUUGAAAAUAAAGGACAUACAUGUUAUAACAACAA